UAGCAGCGGACUGGCAGCCAGCACGGGCUCAGGAGGCAGCUCCGAAACCCGGUUGUACGCCAGACCCGCGUGCUGCAGAGAUUGGCUCCGGAACGCAGGCUCUAUGUUUUGGAGCCUGCCAGGCGUCACGUGUCCCGAGGGCCCCGGGGUCCGCAGCGAGGCGCAGAGGCAGGGACAACAUGCGAAUGCAGAGAUUGGGGCGGGGCCAGGGGCAGGGGCGAGGGUGGCACCUUGGCAGCGGCGGUAGGGGUAAGGUGGUGCAACCAUUCGAAAGAAAAGGGGGAAUUUAGAGGGUGCCAGGGAAGCGCCUCAAUCUGAGACCCAUCGGGACUUAUUGCGAUCACAUUGCGACAGCAGGGGCUGCGGACGUACAGGUAACUCUUCCAUGGGUGUGGAAUUGUGAAGAGAAUGUCCAUGCGCCGGCCCGCCAUCCAUUCCCAGCAUGAAGUCCCCCGUCACGCAGGAGUAUGACCCACUUGUUGGCACCGGCGAACAGCUUCUUAAGCCGCGGUAACGUCCCGAUGCAGGAUGGCAGCUCCGUCAGUUGACAGCCGGUUACGGUUAACUCCACCAAGCUGUCCGGGAGCCCCUUCUCUGGAAUGCUCGUGAUGCUAUUGUUGGAGACAUCUAUGUUUGUCAACGUCUUCAAUGCGUCCAAACCUUAAACGUGUGAACACCAAACAUCCGUGUGGCAUCGCUCUAUUACUUGGCGUAAUGCGCGGAUGCUUCAUCAUCAUACCUUCUGGAAGUUGCG
This 754-nucleotide long non-coding RNA is filed under the name Volvox carteri. Its description in RNAcentral is "long non-coding RNA (VCAR_LNC000563)". Lineage: Eukaryota; Viridiplantae; Chlorophyta; Chlorophyceae; Chlamydomonadales; Volvocaceae. The record is from RNAcentral.